This 771-nucleotide ribosomal RNA is filed under the name uncultured bacterium. RNAcentral describes it as "bacterial SSU rRNA". It matches the Rfam family "Bacterial small subunit ribosomal RNA", at positions 8 to 796 of the family's 1533-position model. The record is from RNAcentral.
AGAGUUUGAUCCUGGCUCAGGACGAACGCUGGCGGCGUGCUUAACACAUGCAAGUCGAACGGAAAGGCCCUUCGGGGUACUCGAGUGGCGAACGGGUGAGUAACACGUGGGUGAUCUGCCCUGCACUUUGGGAUAAGCCUGGGAAACUGGGUCUAAUACCGAAUAUGACCAUGCGCCUCCUGGUGUGUGGUGGAAAGCUUUUGCGGUGUGGGAUGGGCCCGCGGCCUAUCAGCUUGUUGGUGGGGUAAUGGCCUACCAAGGCGACGACGGGUAGCCGGCCUGAGAGGGUGACCGGCCACACUGGGACUGAGAUACGACCCAGACUCCUACGGGAGGCAGCAGUGGGGAAUAUUGCACAAUGGGCGCAAGCCUGAUGCAGCGACGCCGCGUGAGGGAUGACGGCCUUCGGGUUGUAAACCUCUUUCAGCACAGACGAAGCGCAAGUGACGGUAUGUGCAGAAGAAGGACCGGCCAACUACGUGCCAGCAGCCGCGGUAAUACGUAGGGUCCGAGCGUUGUCCGGAAUUACAGGGCGUAAAGAGCUCGUAGGUGGUUUGUCGCGUUGUUCGUGGAAACUCACAGCUUAACUGUGGGCGUGCGGGCGAUACGGGCAGACUUGAGUACUGCAGGGGAGACUGGAAUUCCUGGUGUAGCGGUGGAAUGCGCAGAUAUCAGGAGGAACACCGGUGGCGAAGGCGGGUCUCUGGGCAGUAACUGACGCUGAGGAGCGAAAGCGUGGGGAGCGAACAGGAUUAGAUACCCUGGUAGUCC